Molecule: ribosomal RNA, 465 nt
Filed under: uncultured bacterium
Lineage: Bacteria
Description: partial 16S ribosomal RNA
Rfam family: Bacterial small subunit ribosomal RNA
Source: RNAcentral
GACGAACGCUGGCGGCGUGCUUAACACAUGCAAGUCGAACGGAAAGGCCCUGCUUGCAGGGUACUCGAGUGGCGAACGGGUGAGUAACACGUGGGUCAUCUGCCCUGCACUUCGGGAUAAGCCUGGGAAACGGGGUCGAAUACCGGAUAGGAGCCAUUUUUAGUGUGAUGGUUGGAAAGUUUUUUCGGUGUAGGAUGAGCUCGCGGCCUAUCAGCUUGUUGGUGGGGUAAUGGCCUACCAAGGCGGCGCCGGGUAGCCGGCCUGAGAGGGUGGACGGGCACAUUGAGACUGGGACACGGACCAGACGCCGACGGGAGGCAGCAGUGGGGAAUAUUGCACAAUGGGCGCAGGCCUGAUGCAGCGACGCCGCGUGGGGGAGGACGGCCUACGGGUUGUAAACGUCAUGCGCUAGGGACGAAGCUGUUUGUGACGGUACCUAGAUAAGAAGCACCGGCUAACUACGUG